AGGACCCAUUCCUUAGGGCAGUGCCUCUAGC
This 31-nucleotide non-coding RNA is filed under the name Homo sapiens (human). The record is from RNAcentral. Lineage: Eukaryota; Metazoa; Chordata; Mammalia; Primates; Hominidae.